UGCAAGUCGAGCGGGGUGAUGGUGCUUGCACUAUCACCUAGCGGCGGACGGGUGAGUAAUGCUUAGGAAUCUGCCUAUUAGUGGGGGACAACAUUUCGAAAGGAAUGCUAAUACCGCAUACGUCCUACGGGAGAAAGCAGGGGAUCUUCGGACCUUGCGCUAAUAGAUGAGCCUAAGUCGGAUUAGCUAGUUGGUGGGGUAAAGGCCUACCAAGGCGACGAUCUGUAGCGGGUCUGAGAGGAUGAUCCGCCACACUGGGACUGAGACACGGCCCAGACUCCUACGGGAGGCAGCAGUGGGGAAUAUUGGACAAUGGGCGCAAGCCUGAUCCAGCCAUGCCGCGUGUGUGAAGAAGGCCUUAUGGUUGUAAAGCACUUUAAGCGAGGAGGAGGCUACUUUAGAUAAUACCUAGAGAUAGUGGACGUUACUCGCAGAAUAAGCACCGGCUAACUCUGUGCCAGCAGCCGCGGUAAUACAGAGGGUGCAAGCGUUAAUCGGAUUUACUGGGCGUAAAGCGCGCGUAGGCGGCUAAUUAAGUCAAAUGUGAAAUCCCCGAGCUUAACUUGGGAAUUGCAUUCGAUACUGGUUAGCUAGAGUGUGGGAGAGGAUGGUAGAAUUCCAGGUGUAGCGGUGAAAUGCGUAGAGAUCUGGAGGAAUACCGAUGGCGAAGGCAGCCAUCUGGCCUAACACUNACGCUGAGGUNCGA
RNAcentral lists this ribosomal RNA (706 nucleotides) under Acinetobacter sp. UAPS0156. RNAcentral's name for it is "bacterial SSU rRNA". It matches the Rfam family "Bacterial small subunit ribosomal RNA", at positions 56 to 756 of the family's 1533-position model. The record is from RNAcentral. Lineage: Bacteria; Pseudomonadati; Pseudomonadota; Gammaproteobacteria; Moraxellales; Moraxellaceae.